This 265-nucleotide unclassified non-coding RNA is filed under the name uncultured fungus. RNAcentral's name for it is "partial contains small subunit ribosomal RNA, internal transcribed spacer 1, and 5.8S ribosomal RNA". The stretch from base 1 to 73 matches the Rfam family "Eukaryotic small subunit ribosomal RNA", at positions 1759 to 1831 of the family's 1831-position model. The record is from RNAcentral. Lineage: Eukaryota; Fungi.
GCAAACUUGGUCAUUUAGAGGAAGUAAAAGUCGUAACAAGGUCUCCGUUGGUGAACCAGCGGAGGGAUCAUUAGAGAGUAUAACAACUCCCAAACCCCUGUGAACAUACCUACGUUGCCUCGGCGGAGGGGACGCCUCCGGGCCCCCCGCCGCCGCUGGCCCAAACCAAACUCUUGUUUUAAUUUGGAACUCUGAAUACAAAAGCAAAUAAGUUAAAACUUUCAACAACGGAUCUCUUGGUUCUGGCAUCGAUGAAGAACGCAGC